This 30-nucleotide non-coding RNA is filed under the name Mus musculus (house mouse). Lineage: Eukaryota; Metazoa; Chordata; Mammalia; Rodentia; Muridae. The record is from RNAcentral.
GGGGAAUCCAGAAAUCCUUGGAGCAAUUUC